CUGAAUUACUUAACUGUGCUCUAUCUACCACGCUAAUCUAACGUCAAAAAGUGAAUUAUAUUUCAAAAAUACAACCUCAGUAAUCCUGUUCCAGCUUAGCUGUCAGAUUCCAUAAAGCACCCUUCCAUCUCCAGGCAGCACGAGGCCGUUUCCAAGCACACAGAAGGGCAGUGUUCCCUCAGGAACUCUGAGGGCUGCGGGGCCUGCCGGGCCGGCACAGAGACCCCCCAGCUCCCGGCUGGGUGUGCCUGGGGACACCGAGAGCUCUCCGAGCCCACACCAGGCACACACUGCCCGGCUCUCACACACCUCCCCGGUGUGUGGCAAUGCACGGGGCCGAGGGCAGGGCCAGCAGAGCCGCCCCUCGGCCCACCCGCUGCAGGACUCACACACCACCCUCACGGUGCCGGGUCCCAGCCCUUCCCACAGGAACUGCCCCUCCUCGCCCGCUGCUGCUGCUGGGUGAGGGCAGCGAGAGCUGAACAAAAGGAAAACAGUAUCACUCAUCAAAGUUGAACAGAAACCUUUCCUAAAUCUACAUGAGGAGAUUCUGACUGCAGUUUCUGGUUCUUCCAAAGAAUACUGUAGCUCCAAAGUGAGACUGAGGAUGUUCUGAAGGCAAACGAUCUGACCCAAGAUUCAAAAGCACUUAGAAGGAAAAAACAAGAAUUUUCACCACUGGACUUUACUUUUUGGGAUGCCACUGUGAGCAACUACUUGCACUGGAGGUCCAAUGUUGGCAAAAAAAAAAAAAAAAAAGCCACUGAAGACAAAACACUGAAAAGUACUGACAGUGCUACACCAUCAGUCGCUGGUGCCACGUGUUACAUCUGCAUUAUGUGCAGCAAAACCUGGUGCUCUGGGAUUUAAUACAAAUUUUGCAUGACUUAUCUGAAGUUCACUCAGAUGAAGCAAACUGCAUAAGUCACAGGAGCACUUUGGUAGCAGAAUCUGAAAGAGUACAUCAACACUGUCUGUGAGCGCACUGCCAAAACCACGGGAAUGCACACAUAAUAAAAUAUCAACUUGAAUAAAUAUCUGGAAGCUG
RNAcentral lists this long non-coding RNA (1048 nucleotides) under Manacus vitellinus (golden-collared manakin). RNAcentral describes it as "lncRNA (ENSMVIG00005009154.1)". The record is from RNAcentral. Lineage: Eukaryota; Metazoa; Chordata; Aves; Passeriformes; Pipridae.